GAUGGAAUAAAAGAUACAGCAUGUCUAAUGAUAUGCAAAAUUCUACUGUGAAUUUAAUUCUCUAAUGAUCAAGAACUUACAAAUUUUCAAAAGAAUAAAUAGCUUAUGAACUAACUAGAAAAAUUACUAAUCUAUUACUAAAAAUUGGAUUAGCAAGUAAAUAAGCUGUGAACUGAGUUAAAAAAUUGUUAUUCUAUUAGCAAAGUUUAGAUUAAUAAUCAAGCAAC
This 227-nucleotide unclassified non-coding RNA is filed under the name Hevea brasiliensis (rubber tree). Lineage: Eukaryota; Viridiplantae; Streptophyta; Magnoliopsida; Malpighiales; Euphorbiaceae. The record is from RNAcentral.